This 253-nucleotide unclassified non-coding RNA is filed under the name fungal sp. Its description in RNAcentral is "partial internal transcribed spacer region". The stretch from base 1 to 46 matches the Rfam family "Eukaryotic small subunit ribosomal RNA", at positions 1786 to 1831 of the family's 1831-position model. The record is from RNAcentral. Lineage: Eukaryota; Fungi.
AAGUCGUAACAAGGUCUCCGUAGGUGAACCUGCGGAGGGAUCAUUAUUGAAUUUUCAACACAGAAGGGGCUUCUCUAGGGGGGUCCUUUCUGAACAAACAAACAUACAUGACUAGGAACAGAGAGUUUGGUGUGCUGUGUGUGUGUGUCGAGUGAGACAUCAACAGCAAAAGAAAAGUUCUUGGCUGAUAAAGUAACAUUGGUUUGGAAUGUACAAUCAAUACAACUUUCAACAACGGAUCUCUUGGCUCUCA